RNAcentral lists this unclassified non-coding RNA (517 nucleotides) under uncultured Glomus. Its description in RNAcentral is "SSU rRNA". It matches the Rfam family "Eukaryotic small subunit ribosomal RNA", at positions 569 to 1089 of the family's 1831-position model. The record is from RNAcentral. Lineage: Eukaryota; Fungi; Glomeromycota; Glomeromycetes; Glomerales; Glomeraceae.
AGCAGCCGCGGUAAUUCCAGCUCCAAUAGCGUAUAUUAAAGUUGUUGCAGUUAAAAGGCUCGUAGUUGAAUUUCGGGAUCAAUAUGUUGGUCGUGCCUCGGUACGUACUAGCAUAUUGGUUUCUCCUUUCUGAAGAACCAUGAUGUCAUUUAUUUGGUGUCGUGGGGAAUCAGGACUGUUACUUUGAAAAAUUAGAGUGUUUAAAGCAGGCUCACGCUUGAAUACAUUAGCAUGGAAUAAUGAAAUAGGACGUUUGAUUCUAUUUUGUUGGUUUCUAGGAUCGACGUAAUGAUUAAUAGGGAUAGUUGGGGGCAUUAGUAUUCAAUUGUCAGAGGUGAAAUUCUUGGAUUUAUUGAAGACUAACUACUGCGAAAGCAUUUGCCAAGGAUGUUUUCAUUAAUCAAGAACGAAAGUUAGGGGAUCGAAGACGAUCAGAUACCGUCGUAGUCUUAACCAUAAACUAUGCCGACUAGGGAUCGGAUGAUGUUAAUUUUUUAAUUGACUCAUUUGGCGUCCG